GCAAUCCCACAAGCUGACUCCAAACACAUGCACAAUACGCUUUCCUGGCCCUUUUGUCUCCUGGUAUUCCACUUAUGAAGACACCAGAGACAAGGUAAAAGCAAACACAAUGCAAGCAUGUGAUUAAAUUUGCUUGUGCUGCGCAGAUCAAAUACAGGGCUUUUUCCUCAUGCUAGAGCUCUUCAGCAGAGCUCUGCGCAUGGUCUACCCUGGAAGAGCAUUGAACCAACACUCUUUGAGAGUGCAUGCUUGUCAUUGGUGAUGACAAAAUACACCCUCUCCGGCCCCUCCCCCUUCACAGUGGGCCGCUGUGAUUAAAAAAUGCCGGGUUGAAAUUUUUUCCUGUCCAG
Molecule: non-coding RNA, 350 nt
Organism: Pelobates cultripes (western spadefoot toad)
Lineage: Eukaryota; Metazoa; Chordata; Amphibia; Anura; Pelobatidae
Source: the annotation of a GenBank genome assembly